This 144-nucleotide ribosomal RNA is filed under the name uncultured eukaryote. RNAcentral's name for it is "partial 18S ribosomal RNA". It matches the Rfam family "Eukaryotic small subunit ribosomal RNA", at positions 1299 to 1458 of the family's 1831-position model. The record is from RNAcentral.
UGGUGGAGUGAUUUGUCUGGUUAAUUCCGUUAACGAACGAGACCUCGACCUGCUAAAUAGUUCAGUUCAAGUUUCGGCUUGAAUAUGUUUGACUUCUUAGAGGGACUAUCGGUGUGUAGCCGAUGGAAGUUCGAGGCAAUAACA